Small nucleolar RNA from Grammomys surdaster, 144 nucleotides. RefSeq annotates it as small nucleolar RNA SNORA48. NCBI's taxonomy places the organism in Eukaryota, Metazoa, Chordata, Mammalia, Rodentia, Muridae. The transcript has a single exon. The record is from RefSeq and is a predicted model, not a curated record.
CCCCUCUGGCAAUGGGCAAAGAGAUACCUUGUUGGUGGUGGUAUUCUUAUAUCAGUCAGGGGUAGAGCAGAUGGCAUUCCUUUGUCCAUCUUAGAUUGAUGCUUGACUUGGUGACCAAAGCUAUCUUAUGCUUAGGAAAUAUAA